RNAcentral lists this ribosomal RNA (603 nucleotides) under uncultured bacterium. RNAcentral describes it as "bacterial SSU rRNA". It matches the Rfam family "Bacterial small subunit ribosomal RNA", at positions 338 to 956 of the family's 1533-position model. The record is from RNAcentral.
CCUACGGGAGGCAGCAGUGGGGAAUAUUGGGCAAUGGAGGAAACUCUGACCCAGCGACGCCGCGUGCGGGAUGAAGGCCUUCGGGUUGUAAACCGCUUUCAGCAGGGAAGAAGCGAAAGUGACGGUACCUGCAGAAGAAGCACCGGCUAACUAUGUGCCAGCAGCCGCGGUAAUACAUAGGGUGCAAGCGUUGUCCGGAAUUAUUGGGCGUAAAGAGCUCGUAGGUGGUUCGUCACGUCGGAUGUGAAAAUCUGGGGCUUAACCCCAGACCUGCAUUCGAUACGGGCGAGCUUGAGUAUGGUAGGGGAGUCUGGAAUUCCUGGUGUAGCGGUGGAAUGCGCAGAUAUCAGGAGGAACACCAAUGGCGAAGGCAGGACUCUGGGCCAUUACUGACACUGAGGAGCGAAAGCGUGGGGAGCGAACAGGAUUAGAUACCCUGGUAGUCCACGCCGUAAACGGUGGGCACUAGUUGUGGGGACCUUCCACGGUCUCUGCGACGCAGCUAACGCAUUAAGUGCCCCGCCUGGGGAGUACGAUCGCAAGNUUAAAACUCAAAGUUAGUUAGUAGCGNGNGAGNGCGCGACGACGACGACGGAGGAGGAG